Molecule: non-coding RNA, 1316 nt
Organism: Podarcis lilfordi (Lilford's wall lizard)
Lineage: Eukaryota; Metazoa; Chordata; Lepidosauria; Squamata; Lacertidae
Source: the annotation of a GenBank genome assembly
GGGACUGUUCCGUGGGAAACAGAGGGACAGUCAAUUCACAGUGCAAAGCACCGGAAUUAGCUCAGAGUGUAAUAUGAGCUCUUCCUCUUGUUCCUGUACAGGAAGUGCAGGAAGUGUUUGUCACUUGACUGCUGGAGCUUGAAGAGAGCAGUCAUGUUUUUGUAGUGCUGCAAAGACAGAAAUAAAGGCAUGUAAAUACGUUUUCUGUCUAUCUCUUUCUCCUGCUGGGGGGGGGGCAGGAAAGAGGGUGUGUGUUCUUCUCACGCUGAGAAGAAUCGCCUAUCGCGACCUAGCCUGUAUCUUGCUGGGGAAUGCAGACAGGGAGGUCAAAAGGAGACCAAGCCUGGAGAGUUGCCAGUUACAAAUGAGAUAGGCUUGAAUUCCGACAGUUUUGCUCUGGUAUUCCUGGCUGGUGUCCUUGUUUUCUGUCCAAGGGAGCCCUCAGAUUUCUCCGUUAACAAAGGGCAAGCAGGAAGGCUGCCUCCCCGUCACUGAAUGCCAAGGAGACACAGCUCCCCCACCCAACACCCCUGCCCUGCUUGGCAAGAGAAGGCCCUGGCGGCACCCGAGAUGCGCCCCCAUUGUCUGGGCCAAAGGGCAUCAUCGCUUCCGCUCUUGGCAGGGGACCCAAGCCUUACCCAACCUCCCAUCCGCCAAGAGAGAUGUUGGCAGCAGUAAGAGCAGCCACACACAGCCCUGGCACAGGGGGCAAAGCCUGCCCUCUGCCCGCCUGCUCGGGAGUGAAAUAAAUAAUGAAUUGCCUCCCCAAGGGGUCCCUGCCUCAGAAGGAGGACCGGGACCUCGGAAGGAGUGUGAUUGAAGGCUCCGUACCGGUCAGGAAAAGACAGAGACCACACCAGGAUUUUUUGAGAAAAGCAAAGCCUGAUCGUUAUUGAAAGAACAGAAAAACAAAUAACUGUUGCAACAGGGUCCCCGCUCACGCAGUGACAGGGAGUGAGAGACCCCGAACAGAAGGACUGCCUUGACUCUUAUACCUUUCCAUACAGGUCAAUAGCAGCGCAGGUGGCGGGGAGGUGGGAAGCGACAUAAAUGGCGUGAAGAGUGGAUUAAGAGUAGGAUGUUGAAAGACUUUCGGGAGGAGGUGUCAAUUUGCUGGAGGGCUCGAGUAAUAUGUGGCGAUCUUCGAUCUUCAUCCUAUUUAAUUCUGGGUCUGCUUUAAAUGGCUUUUCCUUUAUCUACAGGAAAAUACCUCCGCAACUGCUGAUAAUCAGCAUGCAGAUCGUGAGGCUGGAUGUUCGGGAAAUGGCUUAAAUGUUAAUGUGAAAUCCUAUUCUGCAUUGCUAUCAAUUCGGGUG